This is a long non-coding RNA of Balaenoptera ricei (Rice's whale), 672 nucleotides long. RefSeq lists it as uncharacterized. The record is from RefSeq and is a predicted model, not a curated record. NCBI's taxonomy places the organism in Eukaryota, Metazoa, Chordata, Mammalia, Artiodactyla, Balaenopteridae. The transcript has 3 exons.
GGGCCCUCCCCGGGCGGCGCCCGGGCGACCGCACACAAGCCUUUUGUCUGACGCCGGCUUCCCGGGCGGCGCCGAGCGCCCCAGCGGGCCGGGUCCCCGCGCGUCGCACUCACCCACGGUGGCCAGCGUGUCGAAGUCCUGCGAGCGGAGGAAACCCGUCCACGGGGCAUCCAUUUCUAGACCCUUCCAGACCAAGGGAAGGUGGAGAUAGUUUACAGUGGAGAAAUGCAAACACUUUUUCUCUCAGCUGAAGCAUCCAUUUGUAAAUAGCCUUUGGCCCCCUGAAGUUCUUCUCCUUCACUGAUUCUGAAAAUCCAUCCUGCUCUCCACAAGGCACAUAUCCAGGCCCUCCUAAGACCCAGAAGAAAGCCAAGAUUUCUAUUUAAGGAGCGUCCCUCUUCUUCAAAGGUGGCUGUGGUUAUAAAUAGCCGCAUUUUAAAAAAUUGAAUGUUUAUGUUUUCAUCAUCAGACUGUCAAGGUUAGGAAAACUGGCCUUCAAAUCCAACCACCCUGGAGUUGGAUUCUGGCUAUGCCUACAUAACAAACUCAUGUGAUUGUUGUGAAACCAGCACAAGAUAUUUCAUGUAAAGAGCUUAUUAUAAUGUUUGGCAUUUAGUGAGGAACCAAUAAUAAGCAUUGCUUAACAAUAACAAUGAUAAUAGAUGGUCUUAU